CUGGGCUUGACAUGCACGGGAAAGCCGGUGGAAACAUCGGCCCCUCUUCGGAGUCCGUGCACAGGUGCUGCAUGGCUGUCGUCAGCUCGUGUCGUGAGAUGUUGGGUUAAGUCCCGCAACGAGCGCAACCCUUGUCCCUAGUUACCAGCGGGUCAUGCCGGGCACUCUAGGGAGACUGCCGGUGUCAAACCGGAGGAAGGUAGGGACGACGUCAAGUCAUCAUGGCCCUUACGUCCAGGGCGACACACGUGCUACAAUGGCCGGUACAGAGCGUCGCAAGCUCGCAAGAGUGAGCUAAUCGCCAAAAGCCGGUCUAAGUUCGGAUUGUGGGCUGCAACCCGCCCACAUGAAGCUGGAAUCGCUAGUAAUCGUGGAUCAGCCAUGCCACGGUGAAUACGUUCCC
Molecule: ribosomal RNA, 403 nt
Filed under: uncultured soil bacterium
Lineage: Bacteria
Description: bacterial SSU rRNA
Rfam family: Bacterial small subunit ribosomal RNA
Source: RNAcentral